Molecule: ribosomal RNA, 468 nt
Filed under: uncultured bacterium
Lineage: Bacteria
Description: partial 16S ribosomal RNA
Rfam family: Bacterial small subunit ribosomal RNA
Source: RNAcentral
GACGAACGCUGGCGGCGUGCUUAACACAUGCAAGUCGAACGGAAAGGCCCUGCUUUUGUGGGGUGCUCGAGUGGCGAACGGGUGAGUAACACGUGAGUAACCUGCCCUUGACUUUGGGAUAACUUCAGGAAACUGGGGCUAAUACCGUAUAGGAUCUCCUGCUGCAUGGUGGGGGUUGGAAAGUUUCGGCGGUUGGGGAUGGACUCGCGGCUUAUCAGCUUGUUGGUGGGGUAGUGGCUUACCAAGGCUUUGACGGGUAGCCGGCCUGUGAGGGUGACCGGCCACAUUGGGACUAAGAUACGGAGCAGACUCCUACGGGAGGCAGCAGUGGGGAAUAUUGCACAAUGGGCGGAAGCCUGAUGCAGAAACGCCGCGUGCGGGAUGACGGCCUGCGGGUUGUAAACCGCUUUCGCCUGUGACGAAGCGUGAGUGACGGUAAUGGGUAAAGAAGCACCGGCUAACUACGUG